GGACAUAGCGGAACUAUAGAAAACUACGGUGUAUAUGGCGGCAAGGUCUCCUUGAUGACGGCGUAGUUUCUCGCGCGUCUUUUGUCCUCGCGUUUAACAGAAAGGUCGCGCUUGGCUGCGCACGCAUGAGCAAACGGACAUAGCUCCCGAAAAAAAAGCACAUGGCCAUACGAGGAGGUGAAAGCGCACAGCAACAAACAUCUCGCAUCCUUAAGAGCCUGCUGUCCUGGAAUGUUGCCAUACAGUACAGCUGGUUCGGAGCGAAAGGGAAGAAGUUCAGUGACCUGAAUAUCUGCAAGCUGACGUGUCGCAGCCUGACCAGGGACACAUGCUUCAGGGCUACCCUUAAAGACAUGUCAUGGUUUCGACAUUUCGACAUGCUCCCGAGAGGGUGGCAGCAGAGAUAUCAACAGAGGCCGACUCAGUGUGAAGAAACCCGUUCUGUGAUAUCAUUAUUUAAAGGGGCUGACAAUCAUUUUUAUAAUACUUUCUUUUUUUCCUUUUAGUUUAACGUAAAGCUUGCCAGUUCAUUCAUUCAUUGUCCAGUUGUAACGUGUCAUUGUCCAGUUGUAACUGCAUACAGUUGUAAUGCAGAAAACAUUGUGGAACAUUUAUCUGAAUGUUUGUUAAUUGUGCAUGUAUCCCACACAGUGUGUGAGCUCAGGGAACACUUACAAUUUGCGCGUGAGGAUUUUGAUGUUCACAGUAGUCUAUUUAAUACUUUUGUCUGAACGGAAUAAAAGAGCUUUUUCU
This is a long non-coding RNA of Dermacentor silvarum, 753 nucleotides long. RefSeq lists it as uncharacterized. The record is from RefSeq and is a predicted model, not a curated record. The transcript has 4 exons. NCBI's taxonomy places the organism in Eukaryota, Metazoa, Arthropoda, Arachnida, Ixodida, Ixodidae.